This is a non-coding RNA of Ictidomys tridecemlineatus (thirteen-lined ground squirrel), 293 nucleotides long. The record is from RefSeq and is a predicted model, not a curated record. Lineage: Eukaryota; Metazoa; Chordata; Mammalia; Rodentia; Sciuridae.
AGAUUAAAAACUACAAGUUUCUUUUUCAUAUCCAUCAGAUUGACAAAAACUUAAAAACUUCGUAAUACCAAGUGCUUGAGAGGAUGUGGAACAAAGGAAACUUUCAUACUCAGCUGGAGAAAGUGUAAAUUGGUACAGUCACUUUGGAGAGAAAUCUGACAAGAAAUGCACUCGGUGAUGGAAAGAGAGCCAUUAUUCUGAAGAGCACUUGGCCAAAGGGCAUAUAUACCUAGGAAUUUAUCAGCACCUGCUUUUAGUACUUCACUUAACUUUGUGGAGACGGAAAGAGAUCU